RNAcentral lists this ribosomal RNA (460 nucleotides) under uncultured bacterium. RNAcentral's name for it is "partial 16S ribosomal RNA". It matches the Rfam family "Bacterial small subunit ribosomal RNA", at positions 338 to 795 of the family's 1533-position model. The record is from RNAcentral.
CCUACGGGUGGCAGCAGUGAGGAAUAUUGGUCAAUGGGCGCGAGCCUGAACCAGCCAAGUAGCGUGAAGGAAGACUGCCCUACGGGUUGUAAACUUCUUUUAUAAAGGAAUAAAGUGAGGCACGUGUGCCUCUUUGUAUGUACUUUAUGAAUAAGGAUCGGCUAACUCCGUGCCAGCAGCCGCGGUAAUACGGAGGAUCCGAGCGUUAUCCGGAUUUAUUGGGUUUAAAGGGAGCGUAGAUGGGUUGUUAAGUCAGUUGUGAAAGUUUGCGGCUCAACCGUAAAAUUGCAUUUGAUACUGGCAGUCUUGAGUGCAGGUGAGGUAGGCGGAAUGCGUGGUGUAGCGGUGAAAUGCUUAGAUAUCACGAAGAACUCCGAUUGCGAAGGCAGCAUACUAAACUGCCACUGACAUUGAUGCUCGAAAGUGUGGGUAUCGAACAGGAUUAGAUACCCGAGUAGUC